CUCACAGACGAACGCUGGCGGCGUGCCUAAUACAUGCAAGUCGAGCGGACAGAUGGGAGCUUGCUCCCUGAUGUUAGCGGCGGACGGGUGAGUAACACGUGGGUAACCUGCCUGUAAGACUGGGAUAACUCCGGGAAACCGGGGCUAAUACCGGAUGGUUGUUUGAACCGCAUGGUUCAAACAUAAAAGGUGGCUUCGGCUACCACUUACAGAUGGACCCGCGGCGCAUUAGCUAGUUGGUGAGGUAACGGCUCACCAAGGCAACGAUGCGUAGCCGACCUGAGAGGGUGAUCGGCCACACUGGGACUGAGACACGGCCCAGACUCCUACGGGAGGCAGCAGUAGGGAAUCUUCCGCAAUGGACGAAAGUCUGACGGAGCAACGCCGCGUGAGUGAUGAAGGUUUUCGGAUCGUAAAGCUCUGUUGUUAGGGAAGAACAAGUACCGUUCGAAUAGGGCGGUACCUUGACGGUACCUAACCAGAAAGCCACGGCUAACUACGUGCCAGCAGCCGCGGUAAUACGUAGGUGGCAAGCGUUGUCCGGAAUUAUUGGGCGUAAAGGGCUCGCAGGCGGUUUCUUAAGUCUGAUGUGAAAGCCCCCGGCUCAACCGGGGAGGGUCAUUGGAAACUGGGGAACUUGAGUGCAGAAGAGGAGAGUGGAAUUCCACGUGUAGCGGUGAAAUGCGUAGAGAUGUGGAGGAACACCAGUGGCGAAGGCGACUCUCUGGUCUGUAACUGACGCUAGAGCGAAAGCGUCCCC
RNAcentral lists this ribosomal RNA (760 nucleotides) under Bacillus subtilis. Its description in RNAcentral is "bacterial SSU rRNA". It matches the Rfam family "Bacterial small subunit ribosomal RNA", at positions 23 to 766 of the family's 1533-position model. The record is from RNAcentral. Lineage: Bacteria; Bacillati; Bacillota; Bacilli; Caryophanales; Bacillaceae.